This 1556-nucleotide ribosomal RNA is filed under the name Massilia sp. WF1. RNAcentral's name for it is "bacterial SSU rRNA". It matches the Rfam family "Bacterial small subunit ribosomal RNA". The record is from RNAcentral. Lineage: Bacteria; Pseudomonadati; Pseudomonadota; Betaproteobacteria; Burkholderiales; Oxalobacteraceae.
AGAUUAAACUGAAGAGUUUGAUCCUGGCUCAGAUUGAACGCUGGGGCAUGCUUUACACAUGCAGUCGAACGGCAGCGCGGGGGCAACCUGGCGGCGAGUGGGCGAACGGGUGAGUAAUACAUCGAGAACGUACCCAGAAGUGGGGGAUAACGUAGCGAAAGUUACGGCUAAUACCGCAUACGUUCUACGGAAGAAAGUGGGGGAGUCUUCGGACCUCAUGCUUUUGGAGCGCGCCGAUGUCUGAUUAGCUAGUGUGGUGAGGUAAAGGCUCACCAAGGCGACGAUCAGUAAGCUGGUCUGAGAGGACGACCAGCCCACACUGGGACUGAGACAAGGCCCAGACUCCUACGGGAGGCAGCAGUGGGCGAAUUUUGGACAAUGGGCGCAAGCCUGAUCCAGCAAUGGCCGCGUGAGUGAAGAAGCCCUUCGGGUUGUAAAGCUCUUUUGUCAGGGAAGAAACGGUUGAGGCUAAUAUCCUCGGCUAAUGACCGUACCUGAAGAAUAAGCACCGGCUAACUAGCGUGCCAGCAGCCGCGGUAAUACGUAGGGUGCAAGCGUUAAUCGGAAUUACUGGGCGUAAAGCGUGCGCAAGGCGGUUUUUGUAAGUCUGACGUGAAAUCCCCGGGGCUCAACCUGGAAUUGCGUUGGAGACUGCAAGGCUGGAGUCUGGCAGAGGGGGUAGAAUUCCACGUGUAGCAGUGAAAUGCGUAGAGAUGUGGAGGAACACCGAUGGCGAAGGCAGCCCCCUGGGUCAAGAACUGACGCUCAUGCACGAAAGCGUGGGGAGCAAACAGGAUUAGAUUACCCUGGUAGUCCACGCCCUAAACGGAUGUUCUACUAGUUGUCGGUCCUUAAUUGACUUGGUAACCGCAGCUAACGCGUGAAGUAGACCGCCUGGGGAGUACGGUCGCAAGAUUAAAACUCAAGGAAUUGACGGGGACCCGCCACAAGCGGUGGAUGAUGUGGAUUAAUUCGAUGCAACGCGAAAAACCUUACCUACCCUUGACAUGUCAGGAAUCCUCGAGAUCGGGGGAGUGCCCGAAAGGCGAGCCUGAACACAGGUGCUGCAUGGCUGUCGUCAGCUCGUGUCGUGAGAUGUUGGGUUAAGUCCCGCAACGAGCGCAACCCUUGUCAUUAGUUGCUACAUUCAGUUGAGCACUCUAAUGAGGACUGCGGUGACAACCGGAGGAAGGUGGGGAUGACGUCAAGUCCUCAUGGCCCUUAUGGGUAGGGCUUCACACGUCAUACAAUGGUACAUACAGAGGGCCGCCAACCCGCGAUGGGGAGCUAAUCCCAGAAAGUGAAUCGUAGUCCGGAUCGCAGUCUGGCAACUCGACUGCGUGAAGUUGGAAUCGCUAGUAAUCGCGGAUACAGGCAUGUCGGCGGUGAAUACGUUUCCGGGUCUUGUACACACCGCCGUCACACCAUGGGAGCGGGUUUACCAGAAGUAGGUAGCUUAAACCGCAAGGAGGGCGCUUACGCGGUAGGAUUCGUGACUGGGGUGAAGUCGUAACAAGGUAGCCGUAACGGAAGUGGCGCUUGAUCACCUCCUUUCU